RNAcentral lists this unclassified non-coding RNA (3919 nucleotides) under Dimorphilus gyrociliatus. RNAcentral's name for it is "dgyrCDS1561". Lineage: Eukaryota; Metazoa; Annelida; Polychaeta; Dinophilidae. The record is from RNAcentral.
AUUCAUUGGAUGCGCCUGCUGACUGCGAGCUGUUGCUCUUAGUAAUGUUUGAAGUUGGUUUGAAAAAAAACUGUUCUUUUAAUGGAGGCUACAGAAGAUGACGAAGACGAGUUAUUUUGCUUUUGAUUGACAAAAUAUAACAUGAAAGAAGUUCGUUAUAGAGUACGGAUGGAUACUUUAUAAUUAAUAUUAACAUAGGCCUGUUAUCUUCUUUCGCUUCAAUUUGCUAGAGCGGGAGAGUGAGAGAGAGAACUUAAUCGAUAUUGCGUUGAAUUUCUUUGGACAAUUGAACUCACACUUUCCAACCAAGUUCGGAAGGAUGGUUUUAAACAGCGAUAUUGUAGCAGUAGAAGUGAUUGAUCUUAUAAACAACGGUAACGGCCUGGGAUUUGGAAUAAUGGGCGGAAAAUCAACGGGUGUUGCAGUAAAAAUGAUUAUAGCAGGCGGUGUUGCGGACAACGACGGCCGUUUGAAGAUUGGCGACCAUCUACUUCAUAUUUGCCAAUGGUCAGUUAGGGGAAUGAGCUCAGAGCAGGUAGCUUUUGUUUUGAGGAAGGCGGGAAGUCAUAUCAGGCUGGUAGUUGCUCGAUCAAUAUCAGAGUCCUCAGAAGUUGCUAGGAAUCCUCCAUAUUCAGAAGCUGUUCCAAUUGAGCGUCUAGAAGAACAUUUACAUCAAUUGUACGCACUAGGUUUAACAGAGAGCUUUACAAAUGACUCUCAAGGUUUCCAAACACCCGAAAAGCAAAAGGAAGACUAUGAAAGCCCUAUUAAAGAUUAUACGAACGCUACAUUUCAUAAGGAACUAAAAGAUAAAGAGCAAAUUUUCACGCCUCCGACGUUGCAUAAAACCCAGCAAACAAUCGAGUCUAUGCCUGUAGAAACAGUAUUCGACGUCGACCUAGUUAAAGACGAGUCGGGCUUGGGCAUAAAGAUAGCCGGUCUUGUGGGUUUUUCGGCUAACGAGAAACUCUGCGGAAUAUACGUUAGGCACGUUCUCGAUGGAAGUGCGGCGGCUUUAGAUGGUCGAGUUCAGCCGCAUGAUCGGAUCGUGGAGGUAAAUGGACAGAGCUUAGAAGGUUUUACGAACGCUCAAGCUGUCGAGGUGCUGAAAUCGACUGGAAAAAUGGUUACAAUGAAAUUGGCUAGAUUAAAUAUCAGAGAGGACAGCGAAGGCAAUAAGGAAAAUAGUUCAAAGAGCUUAAACGUUAAUCAGGAUAAAAUUGAUCCAAGAAAAGAUGAUAAUGACAAUCAGCUGCCCAUCGAGGCUAACCCGGAAGAUGAGCUAGUCAGGAAUUGGGAAAAUAGGCUAAAUUGCCCUAAGGGCGAAAUAAUAAUAGCACACGUUUCAAAGUUCAGGGAUGGUGGGGGAUUAGGGGUCGGUCUCGAAGGUACUGUCGAUAUAGAGGACGGCGUAGAAGUCCGACCUCAUCACUAUAUCAGAAGUAUUCUCAAAGAAGGACCCGUCGGCCAAGAUGGUAUAUUAAUGCAAGGAGAUGAACUUCUUCAAGUUAAUGAUGAAAUUUUGUUUGGCAAGAAUUACAAGAACGUCUUAAGCAUACUAAAAAAGCUGCCACUUAACGUUCGAAUAGUCUGCCGCAGGAAAGCAUUUGUGACGUCAGAAAAGCUGUUCAAAGCGAAAUCAGAGGCAUGCCUAGUGAUGGAUCGACAUUACCCAGUUGCUAGGUGGCGUUCUGUUGAACCUCUAACAGCCGUAACAGUUUGGAACAAAGCCGUCACAGAAGUGACUCUACCAAAAACCAAUAAGGGUUUGGGUUUCUCUAUGAUAGAUUAUGAAGAUCCCUUGAAGCCAGGGGAUUGGAUAGUUAUCGUUAGGUCAUUAGUUCCUGGCGGAGUAGCUCAAGCGGACGGAAGAGUUUUACCGGGUGACAGAAUUGUUUCUGUAAACGAUAUCUCCUUGCAAAAUGGCCGUGUCAGUGACGCCGUUAAGGCACUCAAAGAGGCGCCACCUGGUCAAACUAGAAUAGGUUUGAUCAAACCCUUGUCACCAAAUUCACCAGAAAGUUCAAUGGACGAUAUAAGUGAAAAUUACGAACACAUUGAGUUUGGAGAAUUUGUCAAUAUAUGCACAGAUACUUCUUCCAUAAUUUCCAAUGAGGUGGUGGUGAGCGGUAGUACUAAGUCUUUAGAACAAUCUGCCGAGUUUAAUUCACUACUCAGGGAUGCAAAUAAUUCAACUGCAGAACCAUGUCUUUCAUCACAGAGCCCGACCACUCAGGAAAACCAACCUUCAACCCUUCACGCCAGCACAUCGACAACAUCUAUUAAACGCCAAAUAGAUCAGGCCUUAUUCUUUAACGAUCCCAUAAGAAUUACAAUUCACAGAAAGGAUGACGAGUCCCUGGGCUUAAAUAUUGUCGGCGGUAAAAUGGAUAGCGAAAUCUUUCCGAAUGAGCUUAAAUCUGGAAUAUUUGUUAAACAAGUUGCCGAAUGUGGGCCGGCGGCUGGACAACUGAAAAAGGGAGAUCAAAUAUUGGAAGUAGACGGUCAGGAUAUUAGAAAUGCAAGGCACGAACAGGCAGUUGAAGCUAUCAAAUUUGCUAAAUCGCCUAUUACGCUCCUCGUUCGUAGUAUUGGCCAAGGAAAAGAAGAAAAUGAAGGGAAUAAAGAAACGGAUGAUUUAACUGAAUCGUUGGACAAUUUACAAUUUGCUGAUUUCUUCCAAGCGACGCCCUUAGUAAAUUCCGAUUCUUGCCAGGCGUCUAAAUAUGAUGAAAAAAUCGAACUGCAAGAUAUUAAAUCAAAGAUACUUGACGAUUAAACAACUUUUACUAAAAAAAAAAGAGGAAUACUUGAUUGCUUGUUAUAAAAGUAGGUUAAUUGGCUAUCUUUAGCCAAUUUUUUACCUCUCCUUCAUCUUUUCAUCAAGCCUAGAUACCUUUUUUAUCUGAUGUUAAAUUUUCCAAACAACACAAGCAAGUUGGAGAAUUUAAAAAAAAAAUAGACCAAAUUAAUUUAAGGCCUUUAGAAGCGUUAUCUUUUUAAUCAAAAUCAAGUAAGUUUUAAGUACAGGAAAGAAUUUUUAAUGAAAAAUUCUGCAGUACAAAAUCUUUACAAUAAAAGGCAAAAAAAAGAAAGCGCCAUCUAGUGCUAACUCAAGUUUUUAUUAUUUUUUAUGGAAAUAAUCUAUUAGCCAAUUUUUUCCCCUUUAAUCUCUUGGUCUAAUCUAAAUUCGUUUUUUCACAAACAGGAAAUUUCAAGGAAAUUUCGAAUACUCUGCAUAAAAUUUCUCAUUUAAAAGAAUUUUUAUAAAAGUGAGAGAGAGAGAGAGAGAGAGACGAAAAAUGGGAAGAAGAGAAAAGAAAGUAUGGAAGAAUUUUUUUUCUGUCUGCAGAUUCUGUACUAAGGGAAUUUUAGCAAAGAGAAUAUAUGCCACAGAAAAUCCAUUGAUUAACGAUCUGAUAACACGUCCCAUGGUUCUCUAUACGCUCUAUUCUAAAUUGAAUUAAACGAACAGUUAAAAAACAAGAAAAUAGCAACCGAAAAGAAGAUAUAAGAAAAUGGUUCACAUGAUUUUUGUUUUGUUAAGAAAAGAUAUAAAAUAAUAAUAAAAAAAAAGAAUAGAGAAAAAGUUUUGUACAUGCAAAAUAAAUAAAAUACGAAAAGAACGUUGUUUAUCAUAAUUAUGAUAUAAUUUUUUUUGUUAUUAUCGCUCGUGUGACGCGAAUUUAUUAUUAAGAGUUUUUUUUAUAAUUCCUUAUUAUCUUUAUUUCUUUACAUUUUCAAGUGUUUUUCUUUUCCUUCUUUUUCCCACUUAUUCUUCUGCUUCUUCUUCAUAUGCUUUUUACAAUCUAUUUUCUUCCUAUCCCUCUUUUUUCACUUAUUACAUUCUCAUUCUUAUUAUAUAUCUAAUACAAUGUUCCUUUUCUUUUAAUAGAAUAAAAUUUUAUAUUCUUCUUUU